Molecule: long non-coding RNA, 460 nt
Filed under: Androctonus crassicauda
Lineage: Eukaryota; Metazoa; Arthropoda; Arachnida; Scorpiones; Buthidae
Source: RNAcentral
UAUUAAUAAUUAGUCACAUAUGCAUUAUUUUCUUUUACAGAAACUGAUUAAAUACGUGAAACAUACUUUAAAUUUUUAUUGGGUAACAUUUUAUCAAAACUGAAUUUUCAGAACUGGUAAGGAUAUUUCAUCAUCAGAUUUUAUUUUGAAACACGUCUGAAGGAAUAGCAGGGCACUACAGGGUUUUCAAAAGUAACAACACGGAGCAGACUGAUGUCCUCAUGUUGCUGUUGCUAUGGCGACCUGACAACCAAUAAGCUGCUUGCUAGCUCAUGUGAUUUGUGGGUUGAGACAUCCAAGGGCGCAAGUAGACCAUCUGUGAGUUUUCAUUGUGCUGUUAAUGGUCGUUGUCAAAUUGAUAAUCACGUCGAACAUAGGAAAUUUUCCUUUUAUGUUUUUAAGAGAGAUAAUAAACUAACAGAUAUAGCUAGUAACUAAUAAAAAUAUUUAUAACAGCUAC